RNAcentral lists this non-coding RNA (70 nucleotides) under human gut metagenome. RNAcentral's name for it is "Cyclic di-GMP-I riboswitch". It matches the Rfam family "c-di-GMP-I riboswitch aptamer", at positions 11 to 83 of the family's 87-position model. From Rfam's summary of the family: GEMM was predicted in a large-scale screen for bacterial structured RNA regulatory elements. Genes associated with GEMM are involved in a diverse array of functions, including chemotaxis regulation, signal transduction, secretion and chitin. The record is from RNAcentral.
UGGCAAACCUGCUGAAAGGCAGAGACGCAAAGCUAUAGGGCCUUCGUCCUCGGACAUGGCAGCCAGUUGC